Long non-coding RNA from Rattus norvegicus (Norway rat), 1606 nucleotides. The record is from Ensembl. NCBI's taxonomy places the organism in Eukaryota, Metazoa, Chordata, Mammalia, Rodentia, Muridae.
CACACACACACACACACACACACACACACACACACACACACGCUAAUAAAUUAAGGGCUGGCAAGAGACUUAUCAGAUAAAUACAGUUGCUAACAAACCUGAUAGCAAUAGUUACCAAGCAACAGCCUGUUUGGUUCCCUCUGACCUCCCUUCCUCUUUUCCUUCCUCCCUCCCUGCCUCCCUGCCUCUCUCCCUCCCUCCCUUCCUCUUUCCCUUUCUCCUUCCUUCUCCUCUGGCCUCUUUCUGUUCUCUCUCUGUCUUCCCUCUCCACCUGUUCCAGGCCAGUCUCCUCUUUCUCCCCCUUGUCUCCCUCUGUACCUCCCUCCCUCCUUCCCUCUCUUCCCUCUCUCUCUCUCUCUCUUCCUUUCUCCCUCCCCCCUUUUCUCUUUCCCCCUUUUCUCCCUACCCCCCCUUCUCCAUAUGUUCCUGCCUGGCCUCAUCUUGCCUCUUCUCGCCCCCCCCCCCCCGUUUCUACUCCCUUCUUACUUUCUUUUUUCAUUUAUUCAUUUGUUCAUCCAUUUAUUUAUUUAUUUAUUUAUUAUUUAUUUAUUUGAUGACAUGAACUUAUUAUGUACACCAAGCUCGCCUUAAUUUACAGAGAUCCACCUGAUUCUGCGUCCUAAGUGCUGGAAUUAAAGGUGCAGAAAUUUAGUCCAUCAAGGCAGGAACAUGGCAACAUCCAGGCAGACAUGGUGCAGAAGGAGCUGAGAGUUCUACAUCUUCAUCUGAAGGCCACUAGGAGAAGACUGACUUCCAGGCAUCUAGGAUAAGGGUCUUAAAGCCCAUACCCACAGUGACACACCUACAUAGGCCAUAACCACUCCAACAAGGGCAAAUCUACUUCAACAGGGCCACACCUUCUAAUAGUGCCACUCCCUGGGCCAAGCCUAUACAAAUCAUUGUAUCCUGUUUCUGCUUUCUCAGCACUGAGAUUACGAAUGUUCACCCCCACAGUGGGUGCUUGACAUGGCACAGAGGACCAUACUUAGGUCCUUAUGUUUGUAUGGCAAGAAUUCUCCCCAAAGAAGCAUUUCCCAGCUCUUCAUUUUUCCUAACGGACCCAUUAAUUGGUCUUGCCAAGUGUAUUUUUUUUCCAUCUGAGUAAUCUGAACUGUAUAAAAACCUUUUGUUAGCCCAGCAGCAUAUGCUUAAAGCUCAGCACUUGGGAAGUAGAAGCAGGCAGAUCUCUGUGAGGUUCUGAGGCCAUCCAGGUCUACAUAGUGAGUUCUAGGACAGGCGAGGCUAUAAAGUGAGACUCUGUAUCAAAAGCAAAACAAAACAAAAUGGAAUGAAACAAAACAACAACAAAAAGAAAGAAAAGAAAACCUUUGUUAGGCUUUACAAGCCCAAGUUCUACAUUAGAUUUACUUAACAGCUUUAAUGAAAAAAGAAAAACUACUAAAUUAGCCACAUACUGAUCUGUUGUGUAACAGAUUCCUCAGAGAUUGAAACAUUCCAUCUUGCAGGGAAACUCCUUAGGGGUCACUCUUGCUGGGCUGGGCUUUGGUGAGACAGCUGUCUUUGAGUCAUUUCUGCUCCUGUAACUAACCCCUCACCCAUAUUUCUGUAAGUAACCCCAAUAAAGUUCAUGGUUCACCAACUUGGA